GGGUCAGUAGGUUGGUCGUGCCACCGGUACGUACUGGUCUCACUGAUUCCUCCUUCCUGAAGAACCGUAAUGCCAAUAAUGUGGUGUUGCGGGGAAACAGGACUGUUACUUUGAAAAAAUUAGAGUGUUUAAAGCAAGCUAACGCUUGAAUACAUUAGCAUGGAAUAAUGAAAUAGGACGAUCGAUCCUAUUUUGUUGGUUUCUAGGAUUGACGUA
RNAcentral lists this ribosomal RNA (216 nucleotides) under Glomeromycotina sp. RNAcentral describes it as "partial small subunit ribosomal RNA". The stretch from base 40 to 216 matches the Rfam family "Eukaryotic small subunit ribosomal RNA", at positions 686 to 864 of the family's 1831-position model. The record is from RNAcentral. Lineage: Eukaryota; Fungi; Glomeromycota.